Long non-coding RNA from Hippocampus comes (tiger tail seahorse), 1430 nucleotides. RefSeq lists it as uncharacterized. The transcript is spliced from 2 exons. Lineage: Eukaryota; Metazoa; Chordata; Actinopteri; Syngnathiformes; Syngnathidae. The record is from RefSeq and is a predicted model, not a curated record.
GCACCACUAGACUGUGUAUGUACUGAGAGAUGCAUGUUUUUGAGAACAUUCGAUAAACCAUGUUAUCUGAGCAGCCUUCAAACAGGCGGGUGCAGUUCCACAAGCAUUGCGGAUGGCUAUACUGAUAACGCAGCUGUCAAACACGACAGCGACAGAGCAAGAAAUAAUUUGUCUAUGUUGUCACAAAAUUCUACAGUUGGGGUUUCCACCGCAGCAUUUCAUAGACUCACCCAAUGAUGAACUUCAUCUUGCCCCUGCGAGCUGUAUCCACCAGGAUCGGGACCAGCUGCGGGUCCCGAGGUCCGAAGAUGCCAUGGGGACGGAUGGCAACGGUGAGGAAACCCUUCUUUUUGUCACAAGCCUCCAGGACCAACUUGGACACAAACAUGCAAAUAUACAAUGCGAGAAAAUAUGCAUUGGUGUGAGUGAAGGCAAUUGCUCAAGGAUGACACUAUUUUAACUAGAGUGUUCAAGGUUUUCUUUUUAAUUGAUGUUUGAUGAAAAGGAGCAGCGAUACAAGUGAUCAAAAGGUCCCAAGUUUGAUUUGAAAUGGGCACAAAACACUGACAUGCUCCAGAGCAAGGUACCCAACUGCUUCCAUUAUUCUGCAAAUCAUGUUCGCUACUAUUAUGACUCAAAUACACUGGUUGGAAGCAUUUCGUGUUUUCAUCGCAAUUAUGAAUGGGCAUAAAGUACAUCAUAAUUCUGUGAUUGUUGUGCAACUCAAUGUGCUGGAGUCUAUCAAUAAUGUGCCAUUCCAUACCAAAUCACCGACUGGGUGAUUUGGUAUGGAGCCAAGCCGAUUUUGAUUUUCAUGAAACUUGCUGUACUUGUCGACAGCGAUGGGACAAGACUAAAUUUUAAAUUGUAGGCUCAAUCGGAGCAGGCGUUUAGGAGCUACGGACCACCGAAUUUUAAUAUGUUGGUCAAAAAGGGGUGGUGCCGCCUUCCUUUGAAUCCUCAUACCUCCGAAACUACAAAACAGGUAUUGUUGGGAAAGGGAAUUCAACAAGGAAUCAGAAUCUGGAAUCAUUUAGAAGGCUGGUGGAUAUUUUUGUAACUUUAUCUUUUCACCUAUAAUUUGACCUUGUGACUCACGUGACCCGAACACAAGUUUCAGUAAUUUUUUUUGUUUAGCGAUAAUAAGGACAUGAAGAAUCCAUCCCCUCAAAUAUUCAAAGAAAGGUGAAUAUUCGUUCAUGAUUUUGUGAGAGAUUUAGAGAUUGAGUGUUGUGUCAUCACUAUCAACAAGUACAGCAAGUUUCGUUCAAAUUAAAAUAUGCCUGGUUAAAAUGUUCAGGAUUUUGGCGGGUGAUCUGAUAUGGAAUAACCUUGAUGCGGUAGGAAAGUCAAAAUUCAGUAAAUAAUUGCAUUGCGGCAGAAUCCCAUCUCCAGAUUCAGAACCAAACAAGAGCAAUUUGCACGAAGUU